Salmo salar (Atlantic salmon) is the source of this 60-nucleotide non-coding RNA. The record is from Rfam. NCBI's taxonomy places the organism in Eukaryota, Metazoa, Chordata, Actinopteri, Salmoniformes, Salmonidae.
GUGGCUUAGUAGGUCGAGCAUGGUGCUUGCAAUGCUAGGGUUGUGGGUUCAAUUCCCAUC